Molecule: ribosomal RNA, 253 nt
Filed under: uncultured bacterium
Lineage: Bacteria
Description: partial 16S ribosomal RNA
Rfam family: Bacterial small subunit ribosomal RNA
Source: RNAcentral
UACGUAGGUGGCAAGCGUUGUCCGGAAUUACUGGGUGUAAAGGGAGCGCAGGCGGGAAGCCAAGUCAGCUGUGAAAACUACGGGCUUAACUUGUAGACUGCAGUUGAAACUGGUUUUCUUGAGUGAAGUAGAGGUUGGCGGAAUUCCGAGUGUAGCGGUGAAAUGCGUAGAUAUUCGGAGGAACACCGGUGGCGAAGGCGGCCUGCUGGACGACAACUGACGGUGAGGCGCGAAAGCGUGGGGAGCAAACAGG